UUAAAACAUUGGUAACAAAUUCAAAUGUUUCUGAAACAUGGUGCUGGGCAAACAAACAAGCCCGUGGGCCAGGAGCGGCCCGCGGCGAGGGGCUCCAACCUUGGGCUGCAGGCACGUGGAGAGGGCGGCUCAUCAGCCAGAGGGAGGCUCCAGGGAGAAACCGUUUGAGCACCAAGCUGAUGACUAGCAAGAGGAGCCAGCAGAGAAGAGCGGGGUACAGUGUUCCAGGAAAAGGGACAAGAAUCAAAUAAUGGCCUCGGUUGUUAUGGUCAGUGCCCCACCCCACCGGCUGGGGUGCCAAGAAGGCCUGCGCGCCUCCCUGGGAACCUGUGCCUCCAGCCCCGGCUGCACAGAAAGGACAGCCCAUCCCCAGGCCCCUAGCUCACUCCUGCCUCCGCCUGGCCCCCACACAGGAAUGAUAAAGGGGAGGAGGAAGCAGGGCCCCCUUCGCCAGGCCUGGGCUGGGGCCAGGGACGGCUGGGUUCAGCUCCCCAGGGCCAGGACAAGAGUGAGGCCUGCUGGGUGGAGAUGGAACCUGGCUAUGGUGGUGGCGACGUGCGGGGCAGGCCUGUAGCUCCCAGACGCCCCCUUCCUGACCCAGCCCAUCCCUGUUGGGAGGCAGCCUCCUCUUUCAUUGGGAGCCCGGCGGGGGCAGCCCAGGAGACAGGAGCACGGGAGGUUCAAAGAGGGACGUGCCCUCCGCAGCACACUCCCUGGAUGGCCCGGCUCCAGCGGGUGUGUGCCCAGCUGGUUGUUCUGUCUUUUGUGUUGAACGGAGCUCUGUUUUCUGAGGGGGUGGGGAAUUACUGGAAGGCUUUGUGCGAGAGCGGACAGAGGAGGGCUCUCCCAGGUUGGCCCAGCUCAGGCUGCAGAGACCCUGAGCUCCUGACCAAGCCUGCAACCCUGAAUCCAUCCUGCACCCAGCAUCUCGGCUCUGCCAGAUGAGGAAACUGAGGCUCAGAGAGCUACGCCAGUUCCUAAAGGAGAAGAGUGAGAAAAGACAGUGCACGUGGAGAGAAUCGUGUACAAAUAGCACAAGGACACGAGGGUGACUUGGACAUGACCCUGGAGUGGCUGCAGGGGUCUCGCUCCCUGCCGGAGGGGCUGCCAGCCCACAGAGGAGGCAGAGCCACAGAGCCGUGGAGAGCCUGCGCCGAGUGCCCCCAAGGCCCUGCUCCUGGACCUGCCGCUCCGUGAGACCCGGAGCGCCCGCUGCUUCAGCCCGCUGCAGUGGGGCCCCUGCGUCUCAGGCUGAAGGCAGCCCGUGCUGCGGCCAGAAGGGGCCAUAGCAGAAGGAGUGCUUUCCUGCCUGCAGGAGGAGACGUUGGGGCAGAGUUUUAAAGGGGAAGGAAGGAAGAACAUUCCAGGUAGAUCACUCUAAAUCGUACAAAGGAAUUGGCCCUCACAAUCACAGUGAGACAGAGCAGAGGUUCUCAUCUGGAUUGUGUCCAUGAGGAAACGGACUGAUCAGAAAAGGCCAUGGGGCCCCCAAGCCUCUACAGACAAUUUGGCUGAAGCCUGGAGAGGAUGAGGCCUUGACUCCGAGGCCUCCUGUUCGGGCCUGAGCCCUCCCGGCCCCAGCCUUUCCCUGGGGAGAAGAGCAGGCACCACAAGGACUGCCUGGUGGGAGAUCCAGGCAGGCCCCAUGCAGAGACCUACAAGGCCAGACUCCCCAACCCAGGAGGCCUGAUGACCCCCGGGCACCAGGCCCGAGGACCCCAGAAUGGACAGACGUCAUGACAUUGGGGCAUCCUCUGGGGCUUGACCCCCGCAGACGCGCGCCCUGCUUUGGCUGGUUGUGGGACCGCCAGAUUGCCCAGGAGGAGAAGGAGUCUCUGAGGGGAAGGUCUCCACCCCCAUCGUGGUACACCGGGGGCUCAGUCUUAGAGCUCGCCCACGUGCUGGGUGUCAGUUACACACAGGAUGUCCAGCAGGACAGCAGCCCACAAGGCCCAGCGCCGCUCUGCAUGGGAACGAGACAGGCUCAGAGGCGGCGUAGUCAGUGCAAAGUCGCCCAAAUGGGAGCUGACAGCCAGGGCUGAAGCCAGGCCAGUGUGAAGCCAACGCUCCUGCCCACCCUCCCCCACACCCCAGGCCUCAAAAAACGGGAGGAGGAACUGAUUCCUGCUCCUCGCGGAGCAGAAUCCCUCCCACCAGCCCCACGCCAAGGCCGUGCUUCUGUCCAGACCGGCUGCUAAGGGGGGAGCACGAGAGGGAAGAGAGAGCUCACUGGCCUUAUCGCUCAACAGACUGACAUCAGCGGCCCUAUGGGUCAACAGAUGUGACGAGGUCAGGGGGCUCCUCGCCUCUCACCUCAGCUUUGCCCGCCUGGGCCCCUCUGUGUGUCUUCCAGAGGCCAGGAAACUCAACCCCCUCCUUGCCAUCUUCUGCCAGGGCUGGGGAGGGGCCCGCUGAGCUCACGCACAGGCAACCCCAGCCCUGGAAAACCAUCUUCUGCCUUCCGGCCACCUGGCCUCCCCCAAGAGCCACAAGAGACCAGAAGGAGGCCUGAGGCUCGUCUGGAGGCCCAGUGCCUUUCUGCACAGCCCUUGAGAGUCCCAGAGCAAUGCCCUCCUGACCCCAGGGAGUCCCCAGCCAAGCACGGGAUGCGGGCUGGCGCUGCAUUAGGCUGGUCCACGUUCAAGAUCCAAUUAUCACACUCAUUUUUCAGAUGGAGAAAUUCAGGUGGAGAGAUGCAGUUUCAUGCCUGCAAGUUUUGCAGAUUCUUGGUGGUCAGAGACAGGGAGAGUCGUGGUCAGGGGGCGAGUUACACAGGUCUGAAAACCAGCUGGUCCACGUCCCGGCUUGCUCACAAGCAUCAUUGCCACCCACCGAGCCUUGCUGGACUCAGAUCUUUUAUGCAGAUGAGGACAGUAAGCCCAGAGGGGUUUAGUAACCUUCCAAGGGCUGCACAGUGGGACCAGCAGAGUGAGAUUCAAACCCACUCCCUCGGGCCUCGGCCUGCACGCUCCUCCAUGCCCCACCGGCUGGCCGGGUCAAAAACUCUCAUUUCACCCAACCUGUGGGUGGGGAGGUUGACUCUUGUCCAGAGGACUUCCUUCCUUGGUGCUAAUGGGUAAAGUGAGGCACAGACUAAUUACCUCUUUUUGCAAGCUCCAAGGAAAAGGGGCGCUCCCAGCACGUUGCGCAUCUCCUAACUACCCACUGUCUCCUUCCUCACCUUGUGGAAUCACGACAAGGAUCCCAUGUGGAGGGUGCUCGUCCCCUUUCUACAGAGGGGAAAACUGAGGCCAGUGAAGUUAUCUGGCCCUGGUCGCAAUGCUAGGUGAAUGGCAGAGCCAGACAUCCAGGCCCCGGCUAGCUCACAAACUGUGUGACUUCGGCCGUGUCAUCACAGCCCCAUCAGCCUCAGCGUGGCCAGGCAGUUCAUGCUGUGAGCCUGGAACCCGAUGCCCAGUGCAGACCCCAGCCCUGCUGCCACCAGCUGUGCGACCUGGCCAGGUUGCAGGGUGCCCAUCUGUGAAAUGGGGUGCCGACUGUGACUGCUUCCCAGGCUCUUAUGGGAGAAUACGUGUCAGGCGCUCAGGACGGGACGGCACACAGAAUAUGCUCAGUACACGUCAGCCUCUGCUGUGACUGUUACUUCCCUGGUAAUGUUGACUGAACGGAACUUUGCAAGUCUGAAACCUCAUAGCUCAGCGGUUCUCCAUCUCCAGAGCAUCAAUGCCACCUGGAGGGCCGGCCCCAACCCCGUCCCUGAUUCAGCAGAUCUAGGGUGUAGCCCAAGGAUCUGCAUUUGUAAAAGUUCCCAAGGGAGGCUGAGGGCGCUGGUCCGGGGUCCACAAUUUGAGGACACAGUGUAGAGAUUGAAACUUAAAAAUUCACAACAAGCCCCAUCCGCCGGAGUGAAAACUGGCUGCUGGGCCCAGGGGAGACGGCUUUGGGGAGAUGCCCGUGGGCCCGGAAGCGGGAGGCAGAGUUAAGUCCGUAAUUGUCCCUAAUGGUUGUGCUGUAUUAAUUAUGCUUUAAUUGCU
Long non-coding RNA from Equus caballus (horse), 3995 nucleotides. The record is from Ensembl. Lineage: Eukaryota; Metazoa; Chordata; Mammalia; Perissodactyla; Equidae.